Long non-coding RNA from Gopherus evgoodei (Goodes thornscrub tortoise), 100 nucleotides. RefSeq lists it as uncharacterized. The record is from RefSeq and is a predicted model, not a curated record. The transcript has 3 exons. Lineage: Eukaryota; Metazoa; Chordata; Testudines; Testudinidae.
AAAGCCUCAAUUUAAAUCAUCAGUUUUAAUCAAUUUUUCUAUUGUACUUCAGUUAUUUUCUAAAGAAAGAUGCAUUCUCAUUGUCUUUCUCAUUUAAAAC